CAGCGGAGGAAAAGAAACCAAAAGGGAUUUCCCGAGUAACUGCGAGUGAAAAGGAAUCAGCCCAGCGCAAAGGCCGCUCGCCCUUCGGGACGCUGCGUGCGAUGCUGCGUUAAUGCCGGGGCGACAGCCUCCUAGGCGACGGCACAUGCAAGUUCCUUUGAAUAGGACCAAGUAACCCAUAGCGGGUGGAAGGCCCAUAGCGUGUAGUCGUUGCCAAAGAGCCAGCCUCGGCAUGGUAGAGUCACGUUGCUUGAGAGUGCAGCGUUAAGACGGGACGUAAACUCGUCGUAAGGCUAAAUAAGACUGCGAGACCGAUAGCAAACAAGUACCGUGAGGGAAAGUUGCAAAGAACUUUGAAGAGAGAGUUCAACAGGACGUGAAACCGCUUGCGGGUAAACGGGUGGAGCCACGAAGUCAGAACGGGCCGGCAAUUCAGCCGGUGGCCGGGCGUAGGCUGUGAGUGUGGGCGCUUUCGGGUGACUCGCUUGCGGCUGCUUGAUGCCUGGCCGCCGGUGCAUUUUGCGCGGGCCCGGGAAGAUGCCCUGACCGAUUGGAGUGCUGCGGCAGCCGGUAACGGGAGUCCAGGGGACAGGUAGCGACAAGGGUGCUUCGGCGUCCGCGACGUGUUACAGUCCCCUGCUCGGUACUCGCCGCAGAAAGCCGAUCGGAUCAUAAGUCGCCUUCGGGCGUCGCAGACGGGGGGAGAGCCGCUGCCUGGGUGGGUGCUUGAUGCGUGCAACGCUACGGCGUCUUCGGACGUUGUGCCUGUGCCUUCGAGUGCCUAGCCUUGGGCGGCGGGGACCCUCCC
RNAcentral lists this ribosomal RNA (808 nucleotides) under Linopodes sp. Its description in RNAcentral is "partial large subunit ribosomal RNA". It matches the Rfam family "Eukaryotic large subunit ribosomal RNA", at positions 48 to 645 of the family's 3401-position model. The record is from RNAcentral. Lineage: Eukaryota; Metazoa; Arthropoda; Arachnida; Trombidiformes; Cocceupodidae.